GCCGGGUGUGGUGGCGCGUGCCUGUAAUCCAAGUUACCGGGAGGUUGAGACUGGUGGAUCGUUUGAGCUCAGGAUCUCUGAGCUGCAGUGGACUAUGUCGAUCGGGUGUCCCAAUAAGUUCGGUAUCGAUAUGGUGCUCCUGGGGGAGGCCGGGACCACCAGGUUGUCUAAGGAGGGGUGCACCGGCCCAGGUCGGAAACGGAGCAGGCCAAAGCCCCCGUGCUGCUCAGUAGUGGGAUCGCGCCUGUGAAUAGAGGCUGUAGUGCAGCCUGAGUAAUACAGUGGGACCCAGUCUUUU
Unclassified non-coding RNA from Neogobius melanostomus (round goby), 298 nucleotides. It matches the Rfam family "Metazoan signal recognition particle RNA". From Rfam's summary of the family: The signal recognition particle (SRP) is a universally conserved ribonucleoprotein. It is involved in the co-translational targeting of proteins to membranes. Lineage: Eukaryota; Metazoa; Chordata; Actinopteri; Gobiiformes; Gobiidae. The record is from Ensembl.